AUCGUAUUGCGAAAACGCUUAAACUUUUAAUAAGACUAAGUGGUAUGCGGUUACGUGACUUCAGAUCGUCGUGCUUUGUCCUAUGCUUUUUAAAGCCUAAUAUUAAAACAACUACUUGGCUUUUGAGUGGAUAGACGUUCGCUGGAACUCCGUAACAGAUUAUACUAACAAACGCGAUAACCCUUUUCCCGGGUGACAACCUGAAAGGAAUACACAGGUUGCCUUCCGCACAACUCGAAGCAGUCAUUUCUUGGACCUGGACGCCCUACUUUACCGCCUGCCUGUAGCUCAGUGUAAUGAGCCUCAAACAACGCCCGGUAUAUUUGGACACUUUUAGGAAAUGGCUACGCCCACUUUGCCAGCUGUCUUACGCAUACUCUCUUUACGUCAGAAGUUUUAUACGUCUACAGGAAGCCGUGGCGUCGGCUAUAAACAUCAAGUGGAAGCAUUUAGUAAAAAUGAAUUACGGUAUUAAGGGUUCGAGAGUUAUGCUUAAGAGGCAUUGUUUAAUGGAUUACAAAUCGGAGCGGGUAUAAACCUUGUACCUGAAUGGAAAUUUCUCUUUUGCAUUAACCAUUGGAUGAUAAGCGUUUUCAACAACUGCUCCUAGUUGCCACCUAGUUAUUAAGGAAUUAAAGAUGCAGCAACCGGAGUUCAAUAAUGACGGUGUGCCCUUUAAAUCCGUUUUGACUAGAUUUCCAUAAUUUUUCCUCACGCCUCAUUGUUAUCUAUUAUAUGUUGCGCUACAAGGAUCUAUCGUACAAUAGCUAGCUUCAAAAAUAGAUUUCCACCCUAUAUGACCUAAUGGUGUACAUCGCCAUAUACUCAGUGCUAGCGCUGUUACAUAGCUUACAGCUUUUAACUUAGAUUCAGCAAGUGGUGCCUCGAAAGCGGCCA
Molecule: long non-coding RNA, 897 nt
Filed under: Varroa destructor (honeybee mite)
Lineage: Eukaryota; Metazoa; Arthropoda; Arachnida; Mesostigmata; Varroidae
Description: uncharacterized LOC111249643, transcript variant X2
Source: RNAcentral